This is a long non-coding RNA of Helianthus annuus (common sunflower), 994 nucleotides long. RefSeq lists it as uncharacterized. Lineage: Eukaryota; Viridiplantae; Streptophyta; Magnoliopsida; Asterales; Asteraceae. The record is from RefSeq and is a predicted model, not a curated record. The transcript is spliced from 4 exons.
AUUCAAUUGUAGCUCAUGGAACCUCUAUUCUCUAGAGCUGAUCCUACAAUUUUGCUCAACAUUGCAAUUGAUGGCUUAGAUGAUCUUUAGAUCUUUACUUGGAAGGUCCAUUGAACAAUUGCUAAAAGUUAUAGAAAAAGUAGUCUCGAAACUUCUGCUCCCAUGUGUUAAAACGGUUGGGAACUUGGCUAGAACGUUUCACGCCGGCCACUGAGUGUUAAAUGAUCCAACCAUUGGUUCAACUUCUUGAUGAACGCUAGGCUGAGAUCACCAGAGCAGCCACCAUAGCACUGACCAAGUUCGAGUGCUCGAAAACUAUCUCCACCUUGAUCAUUCAAAAGUUGUUAUCAAUGCUGGUGGUGCAAAACAUUUGAUUUAGUUGGUUUACUUUGGUGAACAAAUGGUUUAACAAAUUUUUCUGACAUCGUCCGAUUUAUAAUCAGCUUGGUGAUAUAAUGGAGUGCCUCAACUAGCAAAAACAAUGAACCAGAUAUUUUGCAAUCCGGUCAAGCACUUUUGAAGUUAUCUCUAUUGUCACUCAUGAUCAAGAUGGCAAUCUUAAGAUAAAGUUACAUAUUUACUUGUUUCUUAUUGCUUGCAGAUUCUAGUACAACAUAUCAAAGCAGUGCUACCGGGGUUGAAAUCACGCAUUAGUGCACAAUUAGUUGUUGUGGCAAAGGAGUAUGCUAGCUAUGGAGAAAGCAUAGAGUCAAAGGUAAGUGGUGCCAGGGAUGAAAACGGGUAUGGGGGGUGUGGAUAAAACGUAAUAUAGCUUUACGUAUACAAAUAUAAAUAACAGGGUAUACAAAGGAGUAUAGUAACAUUAUGGUGAUUGGGCCCAACAUCCACACUACCCCUGUCGAAAUAAAGGAAAAACUUGCACACUAUGCACCACAUAGAGGAAGCUGUUGCACGAUGCACCUGUAACUGCAUGGAGAUUUAUGUUGUUGCUUUGUCCCAACAAAGAGUAGUCAAAGAAGUCACCCAAUGGAUG